UAGGGAAUAUUGCGCAAUGGAGGAAACUCUGACGCAGCGACGCCGCGUGAGUGAUGAAGGACUUCGGUUCGUAAAGCUCUGUUGCAAGGGAAAAAGAAAGUGAUUGUACCUUGUGAGGAAGGGUCGGCUAACUUCGUGCCAGCAGCCGCGGUAAGACGAGGGACCCUAGCGUUGUUCGGAAUCAUUGGGCGUAAAGCGGGUGUAGGUGGCCUUGUAAGUCAGGUGUGAAAGCCCAGGGCUUAACCCUGGAAGUGCAUUUGAUACUGCGAAGCUUGAGUGCUGGAGAGGCUAUUAGAAUUCCUGGUGUAGUGGUGAAAUACGUAGAUAUCAGGAGGAAUACCGGAGGCGAAGGCGGAUAGCUGGCCAGACACUGACACUCAGACCCGAAAGUGCGGGGAUCAAACAG
This 406-nucleotide ribosomal RNA is filed under the name uncultured bacterium. RNAcentral's name for it is "bacterial SSU rRNA". It matches the Rfam family "Bacterial small subunit ribosomal RNA", at positions 355 to 775 of the family's 1533-position model. The record is from RNAcentral.